GCAGAGUAGAUUCAUAUGCGUAAAGUGCUUUCCGGAUAGAGAGUUGCCGGAAGACGAAAAGAGAAAUCUUGCGGUAUAUGAAUUGCAUCUCGCUGC
Molecule: non-coding RNA, 96 nt
Filed under: uncultured Blautia sp.
Lineage: Bacteria; Bacillati; Bacillota; Clostridia; Lachnospirales; Lachnospiraceae
Description: THF riboswitch
Rfam family: THF (Tetrahydrofolate) riboswitch aptamer
About the family: THF riboswitch presents a pseudoknot that joins P1-P2 and the loop of P3 and two THF binding.
Source: RNAcentral